RNAcentral lists this ribosomal RNA (477 nucleotides) under uncultured bacterium. RNAcentral describes it as "partial 16S ribosomal RNA". It matches the Rfam family "Bacterial small subunit ribosomal RNA", at positions 28 to 523 of the family's 1533-position model. The record is from RNAcentral.
GACGAACGCUGGCGGCGUGCUUAACACAAGCAAGUCGAACGGUAAGGCCCUUCGGGGUACACGAGUGGCGAACGGGUGAGUAACACGUGGGUGAUCUGCCCUGCACUUCGGGAUAAGCCUGGGAAACUGGGUCUAAUACCGGAUAGGACACUGCCUGCAUGGGUGGUGGUGGAAAGCUUUUGCGGUGUGGGAUGGGCCCGCGGCCUAUCAGCUUGUUGGUGGGGUGAUGGCCUACCAAGGCGACGACGGGUAGCCGGCCUGAGAGGGUGACCGGCCGCACUGGGACUGAGAUACGGCCCAGACUCCUACGGGAGGAAGCAGUGGUGAAUAUUGCACAAUGGGCGCAAGCCUGAUGCAGCGACGCCGCGUGAGGGAUGACGGCCUUCGGGUUGUAAACCUCUUUCAGCACCGACGAAGCGCAAGUGACGGUAGGUGCAGAAGAAGGACCGGCCAACUACGUGCCAGCCGCCGCCGUAA